AAGUCGAACGAAGUAGCAAUACUUAGUGGCAGACGGGUGAGUAACAUGUAGGUAUCUUCCCUAUGGUGAGGAAUAACACGAGGAAACUUGUGCUAAUACCUCAUAAGUCUUUACGGAGAAAGCUUUAUGCGCCAUUGGAUGAGCCUACACUUGAUUAGUUUGUUGGUGGGGUAAUGGCCUACCAAGACAAUGAUCAAUAGCUGAUUUGAGAGGAUGAUCAGCCACAUUGGGACUGAGACACGGCCCAAACUCCUACGGGAGGCAGCAGUAGGGAAUCUUGCACAAUGGGGGAAACCCUGAUGCAGCGAUGCCGCGUGAGUGAAGAAGGCCUUUGGGUUGUAAAGCUCUUUCGUCGGGGAAGAAAAUGACUGUACCCGAAUAAGAAGGUCCGGCUAACUUCGUGCCAGCAGCCGCGGUAAUACGAAGGGACCUAGCGUAGUUCGGAAUUACUGGGCUUAAAGAGUUCAUAGGUGGUUAAAAAAGUUGGUGGUGAAAUCCCCGAGCUUAACUCUGGAACUGCCAUCAAAACUUUUUAGCUAGAGUAUGAUAGAGGAAAGCAGAAUUUCUAGUGUAGAGGUGAAAUUCGUAGAUAUUAGAAAGAAUACCAAUUGCGAAGGCAGCUUUCUGGAUCAUUACUGACACUGAGGAACGAAAGCAUGGGUAGCGAAGAGGAUUAGAUACCCUCGUAGUCCAUGCCGUAAACGAUGUGUGUUAGACGUUGGAAAUUUAUUUUCAGUGUCGCAGCGAAAGCAAUAAACACACCGCCUGGGGAGUACGACCGCAAGGUUAAAACUCAAUGAAUUGACGGGGACCCGCACAAGUAG
This 824-nucleotide ribosomal RNA is filed under the name uncultured marine bacterium. RNAcentral describes it as "bacterial SSU rRNA". It matches the Rfam family "Bacterial small subunit ribosomal RNA", at positions 59 to 932 of the family's 1533-position model. The record is from RNAcentral.